This 497-nucleotide ribosomal RNA is filed under the name uncultured bacterium. RNAcentral describes it as "partial 16S ribosomal RNA". It matches the Rfam family "Bacterial small subunit ribosomal RNA", at positions 28 to 507 of the family's 1533-position model. The record is from RNAcentral.
GAUGAACGCUGGCGGCGUGCCUAAUACAUGCAAGUCGAGCGAACGGACGAGAAGCUUGCUUCUCUGAUGUUAGCGGCGGACGGGUGAGUAACACGUGGAUAACCUACCUAUCAGACUGGGAUAACUUCGGGAAACCGGAGCUAGUACCGGAUAAUAUUUUGAACCGCAUGGUUCAAAAGUGAAAGACGGUCUUGCUGUCACUUCUAGAUGGAUCCGCGCUGCAUUAGCUAGUUGGUAAGGUAACGGCUUACCAAGGCAACGAUGCAUAGCCGACCUGAGAGGGUGAUCGGCCACACUGGAACUGAGACACGGUCCAGACUCCUACGGGAGGCAGCAGUAGGGAAUCUUCCGCAAUGGGCGAAAGCCUGACGGAGCAACGCCGCGUGAGUGAUGAAGGUCUUCGGAUCGUAAAACUCUGUUAUUAGGGAAGAACAUAUGUGUAAGUAACUGUGCACAUCUUGACGGUACCUAAUCAGAAAGCCACGGCUAACUACGUG